GCAUGAACAUAAUGAAUCAGUGGCAUAAACAUAACUCAGUAGCCUACACUAUAAACGGAAUAGAUAGCCUACUUAAGUGAUUUUCCAACCAUCUUUUAUUUAUUUUCCAUUUAAAAUAGGAAGGGAGUAGAAAGCCUAUCGUCUAAGCGAUGACAACCAUGAAAACCCCAGGACCAAGCAAGAGGUGGUGGUUCGCUCUCCGUGCCAGGGUUGCCACAUUUGGUGGAGAAUGCGGGCAACUCGACCGUGCUACGGACAAUCAUUGGGAGUGAUCGACGACGCAGCCAGAAACGAGGACACGAGAGACGAGGGCGCCAGAGAAGAGGCUGCGUGAGUCGAGGCUGCGUGAGUCGAGGCCGCCAGAGACGAGGCUGCGUGAGACGAGGCCGCCAGAGACGAGGCCGCGUGAGUCGAGGCCGCCAGAGUCGAGGCCGCCAGAGACGACGCCGCAAAACGAGCCACGCUGGCAGCAGAAGCCGCCACGCUACCCGCAGGACCGUCGCUCCUCCGAGAGGCCUCCCGAGGCUUCAUCAAAGGGUGGAGGAGUGAGGCAACCCGGCCUUUGCCAAUCAACUUGAUGCAGAGCACCUGAGGGCCAGAGGGAGAGCAGACCUUAAAUAGCCUGCUCCAAGGUGCAUUCAGGGCUCUCUUGGCUUGGGUGUGAGGAAAACCUGUGUUUCUUUGUUCUUUUAAGUAAGAGAUCCUUGUUUUGUAUUAUUAAAAGUGCCUUUGUGGUUAAGAAAUUAAGAGAAUCGUGUGCCGUUUGAGGUGGCGGUUCGCUCACCGUGCCGGGUUGCCACAAUACAUCCCACCACUUCGAUGCUUUAAAUGUCACAAAUUUGGGCAUUAAGCAGCAAUACGUAGAGGGAAAGCAAGAUGUGGCAAAUGUGAAGGGGAGGAUCAUGAAUACGAUAAAUGUAAGGGAGGUGCCCGGGUUAACUGGUGAUUUUUGAGGCGAGCAUAGGGCUACCUAUAAAGGGUGUUAGGCGCAUGAACGCGCAGCAGAGGUUCAAAUAAUUAAAGUGGAGGAAAAGGUAACAUAUGCUGAAGCAAUUAAACAAGUUAAUGCUUGAAAGGAUAUGGUGAAACAAGGAGUUGGACCUGGAAAAAUAGUUAAUGC
RNAcentral lists this long non-coding RNA (1120 nucleotides) under Gadus morhua (Atlantic cod). Its description in RNAcentral is "lncRNA (ENSGMOG00000035562.1)". Lineage: Eukaryota; Metazoa; Chordata; Actinopteri; Gadiformes; Gadidae. The record is from RNAcentral.